This is a long non-coding RNA of Chiroxiphia lanceolata (lance-tailed manakin), 529 nucleotides long. RefSeq lists it as uncharacterized. NCBI's taxonomy places the organism in Eukaryota, Metazoa, Chordata, Aves, Passeriformes, Pipridae. The record is from RefSeq and is a predicted model, not a curated record. The transcript has 2 exons.
AGAGAGCAGAAGAGAGCUGGAAGAUCUUAAUCUUGCACUCCACUGAGUGCAAGAGCUAGCAAUCCCCAGGAGCAAGAAAUCCAGCAAGGAAGGCAAGAAACUGGCAUCGCUGAGUAGGGAACUGCUGGUCAAACUAAAGGAAAAGAAGCAAAUGCACAGGCAAAUGCACAGGCAGUGGAAACAAGGACAGGAAUAUCUGUUUUGGAGCUAAGAUGGGCAACAACCAGUGAAUCAGCUUUUUAGAGACUGUCAAGGGUCUACCUCCUGCUUAGAAAAGCAUUAUUAGAUCACCUAAGAAGAUAAAAAAUUGAAAUAUUAUAACAAGCAAGCAGUCGGUGUGGUGCUGGCAGCAAAUCUCAAAACAUUGACUUUCACAGAUCGAGGGUAAUUGAACCUUCCUUCAAACAGACUUCUUAUGAAAACUUCCUCUUAUCUGCAAACUUCAGGUAUUCAAAUUCCAUGAAACUCAGUUUGGAAUAAUUUCCACAGUUUAAAUAUUAUAAUUAAAAAGAAGGUAUGAACUUGGGAA